CCAUUUUCGAGUGAUGCCUGAUCGCAUCAAUUCAGCGGGAGAGACUGGUCACUCUGGCCUGGGUGGAGAACCCUAUGGAGAACCUGCCGAAAAAUCACAAAAAAAUACAAAAAAAUUUCCUGUAGAUGGAGGCGGUUCGGGGAGCUUCUUUGGGGCCAGCGCCAUCGACACGUCGCAGUCAGAAAAGGCGAUUUGCCAAGCGUUUCCCCCCGAAAAGUCUCCCCUUGGAUUUGCUGGAUGAUUUAUCCACCUCCAUCUCCUUUAGAGAGCGCGCUUGUCUCCGUGGGGUUUUGACCUUUCUAUAGAGGAGAACUGAUUCUGGAGAACAACUUAACUUCUGUGAUUGAAAACCCCUGUGUUCUAUGUGAAAAGAGAUGGGAGAUUAAGGCUAUAACAAAUUAAGAUAGGCUGUACUGGUACUAUGUGAUAACAACUUGUUGGCCUCAAUUGAACAAGCAUUCUUGUCCCCCGAAGGAUGGACAAAUGGGCUGGAGAAUGAUUGUUAAGAGGAGGUUAUAUGACUGGUUAUUCAAAGAAAGAGGACUUUCCCGUUCUGAAUACAUGCCACCACUAUUCAUGGGUGGGAAAGACUUGGUAGGAGUUUUUUAUCCAGGGCUACAAGUGAGACUUCACAAUAUUUCUGAAGUAACUCUUAAGAGAGCUUGGUUCCUCUUUGGCUCACUGAAAAGGAUUCCUGCAUGCUGAGUCUGUGAUAUGAUACUACAAGGAAUCAUUUCAGAGAAUUACAAGGAUUUUGUUGGCAUUGCCACCGUCCCAAGCUUUAAGUCUCAAGUAAGUAUCUGAACUUAACCAAAAUAGCCCUGUAAUUUCAGCUAUUUUUAUGGCUGGUUUGGAUUACACUAUAAUUGUUUAAUAAAUUAUAUCAAUAUAGUCUCAAACCCCAAAUCAAUCAUUCUUUGGUUCAUUUAUGCAACAAAAACACAUUCUAUAUGUUAGAAUCAACCCAGAAUUGCAUGAUAUGAAAUAAGCCCAGAAAUAGGUUUCACCUGUAAGCUUCUAACCUCUUUCUGGCCAAAAUCAACAUUUGUUCAAACUCAGCAAGAGGCAAAAAAUCAGGGCAGUACAAAACAGUCCGUGUCCUAGGAUCAGAGAUUAUUAAAAUGUUCGCUUGUACUGGGCUUGUUCAUCUCCUUGUUCUUCCUCACUUUUGCUGAUCUUCUGGACCCUGAGCUCUGCCUGCCUGGAUCUACACACAGUACCUGCUUGAUCUUCCCUGCCUUUGCUGAAAUCCUGGACUUUGCCUAUCUACAUGAACCCAUGGUACCCGCUUGUUCCUCUCUGCCUUUGCUGAUCUCCUGGAUUCUGGACUUUCGUUUUUCUACUGGAACUGAUUUGCUCCUCCCUAUGUUAAUUGACCCUACUCUGUCCUUAACCCCUUGCCUGCCUAUACUUUUGGUAUCUAGCAAAUGCUGGUGAAUUAACUGAAUACCCUUCCCUGCCCUUUCCUUCCUACCACAUUCCAUGGCAUCCAAGCCCCCCUGCAUGACAGUGGGAAUUUAUUGGCUUUUAAAAAUAAAUAAAUAUGAUAAGAAAAGUG
This is a non-coding RNA of Phascolarctos cinereus (koala), 1558 nucleotides long. The record is from RefSeq and is a predicted model, not a curated record. NCBI's taxonomy places the organism in Eukaryota, Metazoa, Chordata, Mammalia, Diprotodontia, Phascolarctidae.